RNAcentral lists this ribosomal RNA (426 nucleotides) under uncultured bacterium. Its description in RNAcentral is "bacterial SSU rRNA". It matches the Rfam family "Bacterial small subunit ribosomal RNA", at positions 354 to 796 of the family's 1533-position model. The record is from RNAcentral.
GUGAGGAAUUUUCCGCAAUGGGCGAAAGCCCGACGGAGCAAUGCCGCGUGAAGGAUGAAGGCCUAUGGGUUGUAAACUUCUUUUCUCAGAAAAGAAUUAUGACGGUAUCUGAGGAAUAAGCAUCGGCUAACUCUGUGCCAGCAGCCGCGGUAAGACAGAGGAUGCAAGCGUUAUCCGGAAUGAUUGGGCGUAAAGCGUCUGUAGGUUGUUUAAAAAGUAUUCUGUCAAAGAUUAGGGCUUAACCCUAGAUAGGCAGAAUAAACUUUUAAGCUAGAGUUUGGUAGAGGCAGAGGGAAUUCCCGGUGGAGCGGUGAAAUGCGUAGAUAUCGGGAGGAACACCAAAGGCGAAGGCACUCUGCUGGGCCAAUACUAACACUGAGAGACGAAAGCGAGGGGAGCAAAUGGGAUUAGAAACCCUGGUAGUCC